This 232-nucleotide long non-coding RNA is filed under the name Cavia porcellus (domestic guinea pig). Its description in RNAcentral is "lncRNA (ENSCPOG00000030074.1)". Lineage: Eukaryota; Metazoa; Chordata; Mammalia; Rodentia; Caviidae. The record is from RNAcentral.
CUCAUGUAUGCUUGGCUUGUGCAAACACACGGAGACCCAGCCUCAUGAGCUGUGGACCUUGGAGGGGACCCGAUUGCCCUGGUGUCUGGGAGGUGACGGCUCUACUGCUCUUGGCAGCUGCAGAGAAGGAGCAAGCCCUUACCCAGCCUGUGUAAGCAAUGAUUCCUCCUCUGGGAACCCCAGUGGCCGGCGAUGUGGCCUCCAGGCUCAGGGAUAACCAUCUUGCCUAAAC